UGGGGAAUAUUGCGCAAUGGGGGCAACCCUGACGCAGCAACGCCGCGUGAAGGAUGAAGGUUUUCGGAUUGUAAACUUCUUUUGUCAAGGACGAAGAAAGUGACGGUACUUGACGAAUAAGCCACGGCUAACUACGUGCCAGCAGCCGCGGUAAUACGUAGGUGGCAAGCGUUGUCCGGAUUUACUGGGUGUAAAGGGCGAGUAGGCGGGUUUGCAAGUCAGAUGUGAAAUACCGGGGCUUAACCCCGGGGCUGCAUUUGAAACUGUAGAUCUUGAGUGAUGGAGAGGCAGGCGGAAUUCCCGGUGUAGCGAUGGAAUGCGUAGAAUAUCGGGAGGAACACCAGUGGCGAAGGCGGCCUGCUGGACAUUAACUGACGCUGAGGAGCGAAAGCGUGGGGAGCAAACAGGAUUAGAUACC
RNAcentral lists this ribosomal RNA (418 nucleotides) under uncultured bacterium. Its description in RNAcentral is "bacterial SSU rRNA". It matches the Rfam family "Bacterial small subunit ribosomal RNA", at positions 355 to 786 of the family's 1533-position model. The record is from RNAcentral.